RNAcentral lists this ribosomal RNA (424 nucleotides) under Verrucomicrobiota bacterium. RNAcentral's name for it is "Verrucomicrobia bacterium partial 16S ribosomal RNA". It matches the Rfam family "Bacterial small subunit ribosomal RNA", at positions 355 to 776 of the family's 1533-position model. Lineage: Bacteria; Pseudomonadati; Verrucomicrobiota. The record is from RNAcentral.
UGAGGAAUAUUGGUCAAUGGGCGAGAGCCUGAACCAGCCAAGUAGCGUGCAGGACGACGGCCCUAUGGGUUGUAAACUGCUUUUAUGUGGGGAUAAAGUGCGUGACGUGUCAUGCAUUGCAGGUACCACAUGAAUAAGGACCGGCUAAUUCCGUGCCAGCAGCCGCGGUAAUACGGAAGGUCCGGGCGUUAUCCGGAUUUAUUGGGUUUAAAGGGAGCGUAGGCUGUCUAUUAAGCGUGUUGUGAAAUAUACCGGCUCAACCGGUGGCUUGCAGCGCGAACUGGUCGACUUGAGUAUGCAGGAAGUAGGCGGAAUGCAUGGGGUAGCGGUGAAAUGCUUAGAUAUCAUGACGAACUCCGAUUGCGCAGGCAGCUUACUGUAGCAGAACUGACGCUGAUGCUCGAAAGUGCGGGUAUCAAACAGG